RNAcentral lists this transfer RNA (64 nucleotides) under Ghauriana sinensis. RNAcentral describes it as "tRNA-Phe". Lineage: Eukaryota; Metazoa; Arthropoda; Insecta; Hemiptera; Cicadellidae. The record is from RNAcentral.
AUUUAAGUAGCUUAUAUAGAGCUUUAUAUUGAAGAUAUAAUGGAAAUUAAUUUAUUCUUAAAUA